Molecule: ribosomal RNA, 399 nt
Filed under: Neoscytalidium dimidiatum
Lineage: Eukaryota; Fungi; Ascomycota; Dothideomycetes; Botryosphaeriales; Botryosphaeriaceae
Description: partial small subunit ribosomal RNA
Rfam family: Eukaryotic small subunit ribosomal RNA
Source: RNAcentral
GCUUGUCUCAAAGAUUAAGCCAUGCAUGUCUAAGUAUAAGCAAGCUAUACUGUGAAACUGCGAAUGGCUCAUUAAAUCAGUUAUCGUUUAUUUGAUAGUACCUUACUACUUGGAUAACCGUGGUAAUUCUAGAGCUAAUACAUGCUAAAAGCCCCGACUCCGGGAGGGGCGUAUUUAUUAGAUAAAAAACCAAUGCCCUCCGGGGCUCCUUGGUGAUUCAUGAUAACUUAACGAAUCGCAUGGCCUUGUGCCGGCGAUGGUUCAUUCAAAUUUCUGCCCUAUCAACUUUCGAUGGUAGGAUAGUGGCCUACCAUGGUUUCAACGGGUAACGGGGAAUUAGGGUUCUAUUCCGGAGAGGGAGCCUGAGAAACGGCUGCCACAUCCAAGGAAGGCAGCAGG